This 32-nucleotide transfer RNA is filed under the name Limia sp. La Zufrada. RNAcentral describes it as "partial tRNA-Met". RNAcentral also lists the same sequence under 2 other names. The record is from RNAcentral. Lineage: Eukaryota; Metazoa; Chordata; Actinopteri; Cyprinodontiformes; Poeciliidae.
UGAACAUGACGGUUAAAAUCCUUCCUUUACCA